This 645-nucleotide ribosomal RNA is filed under the name Enterococcus faecium. RNAcentral describes it as "partial 16S ribosomal RNA". It matches the Rfam family "Bacterial small subunit ribosomal RNA", at positions 419 to 1052 of the family's 1533-position model. The record is from RNAcentral. Lineage: Bacteria; Bacillati; Bacillota; Bacilli; Lactobacillales; Enterococcaceae.
GGAUUGGAAAAAUUUGGUUUUUAGGAAAGAACAAGGGUGGGGGUAACUGUUCACCCCUGGACGGUUUUUAACCAGAAAGCCACGCUUAAUUACGUGCCAGCAGCCGCGGUAAUACGUAGGUGGCAAGCGUUGUCCGGAUUUAUUGGGCGUAAAGCGAGGGCAGGCGGUUUUUUUUAAGUUUGAUGUGAAAGCCCCCCGGCUCAACCGGGGAGGGUCAUUGGAAACUGGGAGACUUGAGUGCAGAAGAGGAGAGUGGAAUUCCAUGUGUAGCGGUGAAAUGCGUAGAUAUAUGGAGGAACACCAGUGGCGAAGGCGGCUCUCUGGUCUGUAACUGACGCUGAGGCUCGAAAGCGUGGGGAGCAAACAGGAUUAGAUACCCUGGUAGUUCACGCCGUAAACGAUGAGUGCUAAGUGUUGGAGGGUUUCCGCCCUUCAGUGGUGCAGGUAACGCAUUAAGCACUCCGCCUGGGGAGUACGACCGCAAGGUUGAAAAUCAAAGGAAUUGACGGGGGGCCGCACCAGCGGUGGAGCAUGUGGUUUAAUUUGAAGCAACGCGAAGAACCUUACCAGGUCUUGACAUCCUUUGACCCCUCUAGAGAUAGAGCUUUCCCUUUGGGGGCAAAGUGACAGGUGGUGCAUGGUUGU